RNAcentral lists this long non-coding RNA (223 nucleotides) under Capsicum annuum. RNAcentral's name for it is "long non-coding RNA (CANN_LNC021255)". The record is from RNAcentral. Lineage: Eukaryota; Viridiplantae; Streptophyta; Magnoliopsida; Solanales; Solanaceae.
GUGGGCUCUAUCACACCGAUUAAUCCCAAAAAUGCCCCGCUCACGCUUGUUUCGCCCAUUUUUUCUACCUAAAUAGCCACAAAAAAUUAAACGGACCACACUAGGAUGAUCCCCAACCUCCCUGGCAUGCCCCGGUCAAUAUUUGGACCACAGCACGCCCGGACACCGGGCCCACCCCCAAAAUUGUGGGCUAUAGCACACCGAUUUGUCCUUAAAUGCCCCG